CAUUGACAAGUUGAUUGGCGAAAAUCACAACAAAUUGGAAUUGUAAUUUACAAGUAAAAUUAUUGAUUGUAUUGUUUCAAGGAGAGUACGACGACGAGUGCACCCAGCGACACAGGCGGACCUCUAAUCGGGUCCUUCGCAUUGACUGAACUGAAAAAAAAAGAAGUACUGGAGAGAGUUAAAAGAAAUGAAUAAAAAAAAAUAAAAAUGAUUGUAAUAAUGUUUUAUUUUCCGGUAACAUAUAUUUGGUAGUUAAUCUUCCAUGCGUGAUGCAGUGUUGGUUAUGGCAGCUCUAGCGAGUUAGUAGUUGUUUAAUUAUUUGAUUCUGAAACAAGAAAACAUAUAUGUUUAAAGUCUAAUAAAUUCAAAGUCAUAGGCACUUUGUACAAAGGAUGGCAUAAAAUUCAUAAGUUUUCUAAUGGUUAUAUGGGUGCAGUCAAUGCACCCACAUACAUUUGCCUGGAAUUACAUAUUUAUGAAAAAUGAGAAAUUAUUAAUGGCUUGUUUAACCUAAGUAAAUAAAGUGUUUAAAUUUAUUUUAAAUUAAAGGCUAAUGCUAUGUGGAUGAUA
This is a long non-coding RNA of Manduca sexta (tobacco hornworm), 570 nucleotides long. RefSeq lists it as uncharacterized. Lineage: Eukaryota; Metazoa; Arthropoda; Insecta; Lepidoptera; Sphingidae. The record is from RefSeq and is a predicted model, not a curated record. The transcript has 2 exons.